UGGGGAAUAUUGGACAAUGGGGGCAACCCUGAUCCAGCCAUGCCGCGUGAGUGAUGAAGGUCCUUCGGGUUGUAAAGCUCUUUUUAGGCGGGGACGAUGAUGACGGUACCCGCAGAAUAAGCCCCGGCUAACUUCGUGCCAGCAGCCGCGGUAAGACGAAGGGGGCUAGCGUUGUUCGGAAUUACUGGGCGUAAAGCGAGUGUAGGCGGUUGCCGUAGUCAGGUGUGAAAGCCUUGAAGCUCAACUCAAGAAAUGCACUUGAUACUGGGUGACUAGAGGACCGGAGAGGAUAGUGGAAUUCCCCAGUGUAGUGGUGAAAUACGUAGAGAUUGGGAAGAACACCAGUGGCGAAGGCGGCUAUCUGGACGGUUACUGACGCUAAGACUCGAAAGCGUGGGGAGCAAACAGGAUUAGAUACCCUGGUAGUCCACGCCGUAAACGAUGGGUGCUAGACGUUGGCGAGCUUGCUCGUCAGUGUCGCAGCUAACGNGUUAAGCACCCCGCCUGGGGAGUACGGCCGCAAGGUUGAAACUCAAAUGAA
Molecule: ribosomal RNA, 541 nt
Filed under: uncultured bacterium
Lineage: Bacteria
Description: partial 16S ribosomal RNA
Rfam family: Bacterial small subunit ribosomal RNA
Source: RNAcentral